GAUGAACGCUGGCGGCGUGCCUAACACAUGCAAGUCGAACGGAGAUUACGGACGGAAGUUUUCGGAUGGAAGCCUGUAAUUCUUAGUGGCGGACGGGUGAGUAACGCGUGGGCAACCUGCCCUAUACAGGGGGAUAGCAGCUGGAAACGGCUGGUAAGACCGCAUAAGUCGGUUAAAUCGCAUGAUUUGAUCGGGAAAUGAGCAAUCAGGUAUAGGAUGGGCCCGCGUCCGAUUAGCCAGUUGGCAGGGUAAAAGCCUACCAAAGCGACGAUCGGUAGCCGGACUGAGAGGUCGGACGGCCACAUUGGGACUGAGACACGGCCCAAACUCCUACGGGAGGCAGCAGUGGGGGAUAUUGCACAAUGGAGGAAACUCUGAUGCAGCGACGCCGCGUGAGUGAAGAAGUAUUUCGGUAUGUAAAGCUCUAUCAACAGGGAAGAUGAUGACGGUACCUGACUAAGAAGCCCCGGCUAACUACGUG
RNAcentral lists this ribosomal RNA (481 nucleotides) under uncultured bacterium. RNAcentral's name for it is "partial 16S ribosomal RNA". It matches the Rfam family "Bacterial small subunit ribosomal RNA", at positions 28 to 507 of the family's 1533-position model. The record is from RNAcentral.